RNAcentral lists this ribosomal RNA (253 nucleotides) under uncultured prokaryote. RNAcentral describes it as "partial 16S ribosomal RNA". It matches the Rfam family "Bacterial small subunit ribosomal RNA", at positions 525 to 777 of the family's 1533-position model. The record is from RNAcentral.
ACGUAGGUGGCAAGCGUUGUCCGGAUUUAUUGGGUUUAAAGGGUGCGUAGGCGGGCCCUUAAGUCAGUGGUGAAAACUCCGAGCUUAACUCGGAAACUGCCAUUGAUACUAUAGGUCUUGAAUUCGGUCGAGGUUGGCGGAAUGUGUCGUGUAGCGGUGAAAUGCUUAGAUAUGACACAGAACACCGAUUGCGAAGGCAGCUAGCUAGACCGACAUUGACGCUGAGGCACGAAAGCGUGGGGAUCAAACAGGA